This 467-nucleotide ribosomal RNA is filed under the name uncultured bacterium. Its description in RNAcentral is "bacterial SSU rRNA". It matches the Rfam family "Bacterial small subunit ribosomal RNA", at positions 29 to 506 of the family's 1533-position model. The record is from RNAcentral.
AUGAACGCUGGCGGCGUGCCUAACACAUGCAAGUCGUACGAACCUGAUUUGGAUUCUUCGGAUGACAAUGAUGGUUAGUGGCGGAUGGGUGAGUAACACGUAGGUGACCUGCCCCGAUGUGGGGAAUAACUGCUGGAAACGGUAGCUAAUACCCCAUGUGAUCGAUGAUUCGUUUUGUCGAUUAAAGCUUCGGCGCGUCGGGAGGGGUCUGCGGCCCAUCAGGUAGUUGGUAGGGUAAUGGCCUACCAAGCCGAUGACGGGUAGCUGGUCUGAGAGGAUGAUCAGCCACACUGGAACUGAAACACGGUCCAGACUCCUACGGGAGGCAGCAGUGAGGAAUAUUGCGCAAUGGACGAAAGUCUGACGCAGCAACGCCGCGUGGGCGAAGAAGGCCUUCGGGUUGUAAAGCCCUUUUCUGAGGGACGAGAGAGGACGGUACCUCAGGAAUAAGUCUCGGCUAACUACGU